This 254-nucleotide ribosomal RNA is filed under the name uncultured bacterium. Its description in RNAcentral is "partial 16S ribosomal RNA". It matches the Rfam family "Bacterial small subunit ribosomal RNA", at positions 524 to 776 of the family's 1533-position model. The record is from RNAcentral.
CACGUAGGGGGCGAGCGUUGUCCGGAUUUAUUGGGCGUAAAGAGCUCGUAGGCGGCUCGGUAAGUCAGGUGUGAAAACUCUAGGCUCAACCUAGAGACGCCACCUGAUACUGCCGUGGCUAGAGUCCGGUAGGGGAGCAUGGAAUUCCUGGUGUAGCAGUGAAAUGCGUAGAUAUCAUGAGGAAUACCAGAGGCGAAGGCGGCUACCUGGACAAUUGCUGACGCUCAGGCACGAAAGCGUGGGGAGCAAAAGGG